AGUCGAGCGCGGGAAGCAGGCAGAUCCUCUUCGGAGGUGACGCUUGUGGAACGAGCGGCGGACGGGUGAGUAACACGUGGGCAACCUGCCUGUAAGAUUGGGAUAACCCCGGGAAACCGGGGCUAAUACCGGAUAAUACUUUUCGUUGCAUAACGAGAAGUUGAAAGGCGGCUUUUAGCUGUCACUUACAGAUGGGCCCGCGGCGCAUUAGCUAGUUGGUAAGGUAACGGCUUACCAAGGCGACGAUGCGUAGCCGACCUGAGAGGGUGAUCGGCCACACUGGGACUGAGACACGGCCCAGACUCCUACGGGAGGCAGCAGUAGGGAAUCUUCCGCAAUGGACGAAAGUCUGACGGAGCAACGCCGCGUGAGUGAUGAAGGUUUUCGGAUCGUAAAACUCUGUUGUCAGGGAAGAACAAGUGCCGUUCAAAUAGGGCGGCACCUUGACGGUACCUGACCAGAAAGCCCCGGCUAACUACGUGCCAGCAGCCGCGGUAAUACGUAGGGGGCAAGCGUUGUCCGGAAUUAUUGGGCGUAAAGCGCGCGCAGGCGGUCCUUUAAGUCUGAUGUGAAAGCCCACGGCUUAACCGUGGAGGGCCAUUGGAAACUGGAGGACUUGAGUACAGAAGAGGAGAGUGGAAUUCCACGUGUAGCGGUGAAAUGCGUAGAGAUGUGGAGGAACACCAGUGGCGAAGGCGACUCUCUGGUCUGUAACUGACGCUGAGGUGCGAAAGCGUGGGGAGCGAACAGGAUUAGAUACCCUGGUAGUCCACGCCGUAAACGAUGAGUGCUAGGUGUUAGGGGGUUUCCGCCCCUUAGUGCUGAAGUUAACGCAUUAAGCACUCCGCCUGGGGAGUACGGCCGCAAGGCUGAAACUCAAANGAAUUGACGGGGGCCCGCACAAGCGGUGGAGCAUGUGGUU
Molecule: ribosomal RNA, 922 nt
Filed under: Marinococcus sp.
Lineage: Bacteria; Bacillati; Bacillota; Bacilli; Caryophanales; Bacillaceae
Description: bacterial SSU rRNA
Rfam family: Bacterial small subunit ribosomal RNA
Source: RNAcentral